CCAGACUCCUACGGGAGGCAGCAGUGGGGAAUAUUGCACAAUGGGGGAAACCCUGAUGCAGCGACGCCGCGUGAGUGAAGAGGUAAUUCGUUAUGUAAAGCUCUAUCAGCAGGGAAGAAAAUGACGGUACCUGAGUAAGAAGCCCCGGCUAACUACGUGCCAGCAGCCGCGGUAAUACGUAGGGGGCAAGCGUUAUCCGGAUUUACUGGGUGUAAAGGGCGUGUAGGCGGGAGAGCAAGUCAGACGUGAAAUUCCAGGGCUCAACCCUGGAACUGCGUUUGAAACUGUUCUUCUUGAGUGAUGGAGAGGCAGGCGGAAUUCCGUGUGUAGCGGUGAAAUGCGUAGAUAUACGGAGGAACACCGGUGGCGAAGGCGGCCUGCUGGACUGCAACUGACGUUGAGGCCCGAAAGCGUGGGGAGCAAACAGGAUUAGAUACCCCGGUAUA
This 446-nucleotide ribosomal RNA is filed under the name uncultured bacterium. RNAcentral describes it as "bacterial SSU rRNA". It matches the Rfam family "Bacterial small subunit ribosomal RNA", at positions 331 to 794 of the family's 1533-position model. The record is from RNAcentral.